Molecule: ribosomal RNA, 468 nt
Filed under: uncultured bacterium
Lineage: Bacteria
Description: partial 16S ribosomal RNA
Rfam family: Bacterial small subunit ribosomal RNA
Source: RNAcentral
GACGAACGCUGGCGGCGUGCUUAACACAUGCAAGUCGAACGGAACGGCCCUGCCUUUGUGGGGUGCUUGAGUGGCGAACGGGUGAGUAACACGCGAGUAACCUGCCCGCGACUUUGGGAUAACUUCAGGAAACUGGGGCUAAUACCGGAUAGGAGCUCCUGCUGCAUGGUGGGGGGUGGAAAGUUUCGGCGGUUGGGGAUGGACUCGCGGCUUAUCAGCUUGUUGGUGGGGUAGUGGAUUACCAAGGCGUUGACGGGUAGCCGGCCUGAGAGGGUGACCGGGAACAUUGGGACUGAGAUACGGCCCAGACUCCUACGGGAGACAGCAGUGGGGAAUAAUGCACAAUGGGCGGAAGCCUGAUGCGGCAACGCCGCGUGCGGGAUGUCGGCCUUCGGGUUGUGAGCCGCUUUCGCCUGUGACGAGGCGUGAGUGACGGUAGUGGGUAAAGAAGCACCGGCUAACUACGUG